RNAcentral lists this ribosomal RNA (596 nucleotides) under uncultured bacterium. Its description in RNAcentral is "partial 16S ribosomal RNA". It matches the Rfam family "Bacterial small subunit ribosomal RNA", at positions 355 to 941 of the family's 1533-position model. The record is from RNAcentral.
UGGGGAAUUUUGGACAAUGGGGGAAACCCUGAUCCAGCCAUCCCGCGUGUGCGAUGAAGGCCUUCGGGUUGUAAAGCACUUUUGGCAGGAAAGAAACGUCGCGGGUUAAUACCCCGCGAAACUGACGGUACCUGCAGAAUAAGCACCGGCUAACUACGUGCCAGCAGCCGCGGUAAUACGUAGGGUGCAAGCGUUAAUCGGAAUUACUGGGCGUAAAGCGUGCGCAGGCGGUUCGGAAAGAAAGAUGUGAAAUCCCAGGGCUUAACUUUGGAACUGCAUUUUUAACUACCGGGCUAGAGUGUGUCAGAGGGAGGUGGAAUUCCGCGUGUAGCAGUGAAAUGCGUAGAUAUGCGGAGGAACACCGAUGGCGAAGGCAGCCUCCUGGGAUAACACUGACGCUCAUGCACGAAAAGCGUGGGGAGCAAAACAGGAUUAGAUACCCCUGGUAGUCCACGCCCCUAAAACGAUGUCAACUAGCUGUUGGGGGCCCUUCGGGCCUUGGUAGCGCAGCUAACGCGUGAAGUUGACCGCCUGGGGGAGUACGGUCGCAAGAUUAAAAACUCAAAUGAAUUGACGGGGGUCAUAGCUGUUUCCUG